GACGAACGCUGGCGGCGUGCCUAAUACAUGCAAGUUGAGCGCUGAAGGUUGGUACUUGUACCAACUGGAUGAGCAGCGAACGGGUGAGUAACGCGUGGGGAAUCUGCCUUUGAGCAGGGGACAACAUUUGGAAACGAAUGCUAAUACCGCAUAAAAACUUUAAACACAAGUUUUAAGUUUGAAAGAUGCAAUUGCAUCACUCAAAGAUGAUCCCGCGUUGUAUUAGCUAGUUGGUGAGGUAAAGGCUCACCAAGGCGAUGAUACAUAGCCGACCUGAGAGGGUGGUCGGCCACAUUGGGACUGAGACACGGCCCAAACUCCUACGGGAGGCAGCAGUAGGGAAUCUUCGGCAAUGGACGAAAGUCUGACCGAGCAACGCCGCGUGAGGGAAGAAGGUUUUCGGAUCGUAAAACUCUGUUGGUAGAGAAGAAAGUUGGUGAGAGUGGAAAGCUCACCAAGUGACGGUAACUACCCAGAAAGGGACGGCUAACUACGUG
This 497-nucleotide ribosomal RNA is filed under the name uncultured bacterium. Its description in RNAcentral is "partial 16S ribosomal RNA". It matches the Rfam family "Bacterial small subunit ribosomal RNA", at positions 28 to 507 of the family's 1533-position model. The record is from RNAcentral.